Molecule: non-coding RNA, 113 nt
Organism: Acanthosepion pharaonis
Lineage: Eukaryota; Metazoa; Mollusca; Cephalopoda; Sepiida; Sepiidae
Source: the annotation of a GenBank genome assembly
UACGACCACAUCACAUUUAAUCUCUGCUUCCCGUACGAACACCGAAGUUAAACAAUGUCGAGCCUGGUCAGUACUUAAAUGGGUGAUCAUUUAGUAAUACCAGGUUCUGUAAG